Molecule: ribosomal RNA, 1204 nt
Filed under: uncultured eukaryote
Lineage: Eukaryota
Description: SSU rRNA
Rfam family: Eukaryotic small subunit ribosomal RNA
Source: RNAcentral
CGGUAAUUCCAGCUCCAAAAGCGUAUAUUAAAGUUGUUGCAGUUAAAACGCUCGUAGUCGGGUUUCGGGUCGGGCCGAGCGGCCUGCCGAUGGGUAUGCACUGUUUGGCGCGGCCUUCUUUCCGGAGACCGCGGCUACUCUUAACUGAGCGGGCGUGGGAGACGGAUCGUUUACUUUGAAAAAAUCAGAGUGUUUCAGGCAGGCAGCUCGCUCUUGCAUGGUACAGCAUGGGAUGAUUGAAUAGGACUCCGGUGCUAUUUUGUUGGUUUCGAACACCACGAGUAAUGAUUAACAGGGACAGUCGGGGGCACUCGGAUUCCGUCGAGAGAGGUGAAAUUCUCAGACCAAUGGAAGACGAACUACUGCGAAAGCAUUUGCCAGGGAUGUUUUCACUGAUCAAGAACGAAAGUUAGGGGAUCGAAGACGAUCAGAUACCGUCGUAGUCUUAACCAUAAACCAUGCCGACUAGGGAUUGGAGGGUGUUCGUUUCGACCUCUUCAGCACCUUACGGGAAACUAAAGUCUUUGGGUUCCGGGGGGAGUAUGGUCGCAAGGCUGAAACUUAAAGGAAUUGACGGAAGGGCACCACCAGGAGUGGAGCCUGCGGCUUAAUUUGACUCAACACGGGGAAACUUACCAGGUCCAGACAUUGUUAGGAUUGACAGAUUGAGAGCUCUUUCUUGAUUCGAUGGGUGGUGGUGCAUGGCCGUUCUUAGUUGGUGGAGUGAUUUGUCUGGUUAAUUCCGAUAACGAACGAGACCGUAGCCUGCUAAAUAGUCCCGCGAACUUCUUGUUGGCGGCCGACUUCUUAGAGGGACAACUUGUGACCAACAAGUGGAAGUUUGCGGCAAUAACAGGUCUGUGAUGCCCUUAGAUGUUCUGGGCCGCACGCGCGCUACACUGAAGCACUCAACGAGUCCACCUCGUCCGACAGGUCUGGGAAACCUUUUGAAAUUGCUUCGUGAUGGGGAUAGAUUAUUGCAACUAUUAAUCUUCAACGAGGAAUUCCUAGUAAGCGCAUGUCAUCAGCGUGCGUUGAUUACGUCCCUGCCCUUUGUACACACCGCCCGUCGCUCCUACCGAUUGAAUGAUCCGGUGAGGCCCCCGGACUGGGGCGACGCAUUCGGUUCACCGGACACGACGCUCCGGGAAGCUGUCCAAACCUUAUUAUUUAGAGGAAGGAGAAGUCGUAACAAGGUAGCCGU